RNAcentral lists this long non-coding RNA (1969 nucleotides) under Theobroma cacao (cacao). RNAcentral's name for it is "long non-coding RNA (TCAC_LNC003400)". Lineage: Eukaryota; Viridiplantae; Streptophyta; Magnoliopsida; Malvales; Malvaceae. The record is from RNAcentral.
AUACGUAAAUAAAUUUUUUGUAGUAGCAUAAAAGCAAAAUAAAUUCAUACAUACUGUAAUACAGUAAGCCUGAGUAUUUAAUUUAAUUUAUAAUAACUAGUGGGCCCUCGAAUAACUAAAAGUAAGAAAAACUGUGAACCUAUAGUUUGGAGGAUGCAAAUCCAAUGGUAGCCUCGAUGAAAUCAGCUAUCUACAGCCUAUUCUGAGCCUGAAAUGGGUGGAAAGGAAGGUGGUGAGAUUAUAUAAUCCCAGUGAGUAAACAAAUACCAUCUAAAAUAUCUAAAGCCGAGUAAAUGGAGACAGAUAAAAUAGUUUAACAUAUUGUAAUUCAUCACCUUUCAACUUGUUUCAACCAAAUAAAAUCAAUUCAUAUAAAUCGAGUAAUUAACAUGGCUUAUGAAUUUCUUAAAAGUUUGGCUCGUGCCAAAAUCAUUCUCAUACCCAAUUAUCAAGGAUACCUUGAUCGAGGGCUAUCCCAACCGAGUCCGCCAAGGCUGUUAAAAAGUUAUGUACGUAUAAAUUAUGUUUUUAUUUUGAAAAUAUAGCCGUUCCUUGGCGUUGGCUGAGUUCACCCUCACGUGGUGGUUUGGCGUGAAGUGAACUCUAAAGUUAUACCUCGGGAGAUACCCUACUCGCCUCUCCAACAGAGGUAAAAUAUAACAGGAUUCUGUGCCUCUCUAAUAGGCUGGUCUAUAGAAAAUCCGCCUACUGCAGCAAGUUAAACCCACCAUACAAUAAAAUUUACAAUAGCAUGACAUGACAAUUAUUUUAUUUUAUUUUAUAGCUUUUCAAGGCAAAUAAACAAUUUAUACAUUUCCAACACAUUUAUCAAAUCAACCAUUCAUGCCAAUAUUGCCAUAAGCCAAUCAAUUGGAAUCAUGAAUUUACAACACACAAAAACAGUCUCCAAUUACUCUAUUUUCAAACCAUCAUUCAAUUUCAAGACAAUUUUUAAAAUCAUUUUAUUUAAACACAUUUUGUUUAUAAAAUCAAAAAAUUAAUCAUUUAAUUCAUUUUCCAUAAAAUUCACAAAAUCAAAUAAAACAUACUUUAGAUAAUUAAGAUGAUGAUAAGGUUACUCACUAUUUUGGGAGUCAAAUUCCAAGUACUCCAAUUCUUGAUCCUCGGGUACUAUCUCUUUACUUUUACCAGAAUACUCACCAUCUAGACAUAAUGCACAAUAAGCCAUUUACUACAUUGUGCUAAAUUGUUAUAAAACCAAUUCAGGCUUGAUACUAAUGUAUGAAAUGGGAUGCAAAUUGUUCGAUUAUUGUCUAAACACGGUAUUCUACACAAAUUCAAUUGUGUACCUAAAUUAAACGGUAUUGGUCUAAUUCGAUCUAUCACUCGAUUAAUUGGCCAAUACGUCCAAUUCAACUCCAAAUAAUUUCAUUUUUCUCCCAAUACUCCAAAUCAUCAAACACAAAUUAAAUAACUUAAAAUAGGGCAAAAUCAUCCUCACAUUUUCUCUUGAAAAAUUCGACCAUGGUGGGUGCAUCAAUAUUAUGAUUUUUCCUACUUGAUUUUCACACCAUAAAUCACUAAUUCCUAACCAAAUCACUUGAAAUAAAAUCAAAAUCAUCAUCAAUAUUCCACAUGGAGAAUUCGGCCAAUGAUGGGUGAUGGGAGAAAAUGAAUUUUUCUUGUUGGCUUUUCAUGCUACACAACACUAACUAACUAAAAACACUAAAAUAUCUUAAAAUCUAACCAAAUCAAGCAUCAAAACCUCUCUCUAAGUGUUCAGCCAGCAAGAUACCCAUCAUGAAAUCAUGUGAUUCAACCAUGGAAAAUGCAAAAGAAUGCAUGAGAAAGGUAGAUCACACGUCAAAAUCAAGAAAUUUUACCUUUGAUUGUUUGAUUACUUGAAAUCCACUAAUUUUCUCUUGAAUUUUCACCCUAGGGUUCUUGUUCUUUCUUUUCUUCCUUUGUUCUUCCUUUGGCCGGCCAUAUGAAGAGAAAUAGGCUGAUU